This 260-nucleotide unclassified non-coding RNA is filed under the name Fusarium tricinctum. RNAcentral describes it as "sequence contains 5.8S rRNA gene". The stretch from base 1 to 53 matches the Rfam family "5.8S ribosomal RNA", at positions 102 to 154 of the family's 154-position model. The record is from RNAcentral. Lineage: Eukaryota; Fungi; Ascomycota; Sordariomycetes; Hypocreales; Nectriaceae.
GAACGCACAUUGCGCCCGCUGGUAUUCCGGCGGGCAUGCCUGUUCGAGCGUCAUUUCAACCCUCAAGCCCCCGGGUUUGGUGUUGGGGAUCGGCUCUGCCUUCUGGCGGUGCCGCCCCCGAAAUACAUUGGCGGUCUCGCUGCAGCCUCCAUUGCGUAGUAGCUAACACCUCGCAACUGGAACGCGGCGCGGCCAUGCCGUAAAACCCCAACUUCUGAAUGUUGACCUCGGAUCAGGUAGGAAUACCCGCUGAACUUAAG